CAGUAGCCGCGGUAAAACGGAGGGGGCUAGCGUUGUUCGGAAUUACUGGGCGUAAAGCGUGCGUAGGCGGCUUUGUAAGUUAGAGGUGAAAGCCCAGGGCUCAACCCUGGAAUUGCCUUUAAGACUGCAUCGCUUGAACGUCGGAGAGGUGAGUGGAAUUCCGAGUGUAGAGGUGAAAUGCGUAGAGAUGUGGAGGAACACCAGUGGCGAAGGCGACUCUCUGGUCUGUAACUGACGCUGAGGAGCGAAAGCGUGGGGAGCGAACAGGAUUAGAUACCCCGGUAGUCCCUGUCUCUUAUAC
RNAcentral lists this ribosomal RNA (301 nucleotides) under uncultured bacterium. RNAcentral describes it as "partial 16S ribosomal RNA". It matches the Rfam family "Bacterial small subunit ribosomal RNA", at positions 509 to 807 of the family's 1533-position model. The record is from RNAcentral.